Folsomia candida is the source of this 529-nucleotide long non-coding RNA. RefSeq lists it as uncharacterized. The transcript has 2 exons. NCBI's taxonomy places the organism in Eukaryota, Metazoa, Arthropoda, Collembola, Entomobryomorpha, Isotomidae. The record is from RefSeq and is a predicted model, not a curated record.
CGAGCGAGUGGUGCAAUACUGUUCGAGAUUACAAAUCUGAUUUUUUAUCAGUACUGAUGAUAACUACAAUCCGAACGGGUGAACAAAACACAAGGAUGAUAAGAAUUUAAAAGCGUUCGGCUCUCAAAUCUACUACGGAACCUGGAACUGUUCAACCCGGGAUUAAGAAAAGGGGUAAUUUUUAGCCGAGGGUCUUUGUUUUUUUAAAAUAUGAGUGUUGUAAAGAUGAAACAAUUUGAAAGCGGAGAAGAAUUUAUAUUCGAUGGCAUUACUAAAAUUCCAAUUUUUGGAAUCGCCUAUGGUGUCCCACGCUCCUUGGCAUACGCCUCCAUGGGAAACAAAAAACAGAUGAUGAAUUCCAUACGCGGUGUCGCAGAAAAUGGGGCAGGUGUCCUCAAAUUAAUCGCAACUCCACUAACUGCACCAAUCGGUAAACUGGGUUGCGAUAAAUAUUUUGCAAUUUCGUCUACAUGCCUUCAAUGCAAUUUUUUGCAUAAUAAAAAGUGAAACAUUUUGUAUACUAAAAUAA